UUUAUGUUUCGUCCCGAAAAAGAUCCGAAUCGUUUGUGAAUCGCAUCACUGUUAGAAAUCCAAGAGAAGAGAUCCUCUUCCCUUAACAUCAUCAGAGGAAAAAUCUGCUUCUUAAUCAAUUAGUUUCAGCGUUUGUACCUCUCUCUCUGGAUCCAUGUCAUCCUACAGUCUCUUCUCGAGCAAGGCGUGGUGAGACACUUUACACAAGAUUUACCUGUAAUUCAUAACGUGCUCUGUGACCUUCUCCCUCCCUCGGGACUCUAUGGUCUGUGUGUUCUGGUAUCUGCUGAGUCACCAGAAAUCUGCCAAGACACUGACACUUGCGCCUGCUCCAACAUCUGGCGCAUAAGGGCUUUAAGGUUUCCAGAACCAAGCUGCAAUAUUGUAUGGACACUUAAGUAUUUGAACUUUUGAAGUUUUGAACUUUCUCAAGGCUGUCAUUCUAGACACAAAACCUCCUCCACUGCAACAUCCUUUGACCUGGACUGACGCUAUGGUGGUCGCUUAUCACUCCCUCAGAAGCACCCUUUGUUCCGCCCCUGGGUUACCUGCUCACUUCAAGCCCUUCCACCUCUAUGCCUGUGGACACCGGGGCACGGCCUCUGGGGAACAUGAGGGGGGGAAAAUGCAUCAUUGUGCGUUUUUAUCCAAAACAUUAGACAUUGUUGCUCAAGGCUUACCUGUGUGUCUGGGGGCUGUCUCCGCAUGUGCUUUAAUGGUUUUAGAUGCGGAAAAAUUGGUUUUUGUCUCACCCAUUGAUCUUGCACUCGUCACAUCAGGUUAAACAGGUGUUGCAAAAUUUACAGACCCAUUAAAUUAAUUCAUCAGUAAUAGGGCUCUCUAGGGAUCUUUGUUGAUGGUUCUUGUUCUAAACCCUCAGACAGUUCUUGUUUUAUAAUUUUAUCACUCU
Neoarius graeffei (lesser salmon catfish) is the source of this 910-nucleotide long non-coding RNA. RefSeq lists it as uncharacterized. NCBI's taxonomy places the organism in Eukaryota, Metazoa, Chordata, Actinopteri, Siluriformes, Ariidae. The transcript is spliced from 3 exons. The record is from RefSeq and is a predicted model, not a curated record.